GAUCCUACGGGACGCAGCAGUGAGGAAUAUUGGUCAAUGGCCGGAAGGCUGAACCAGCCAAGCCGCGUGAAGGACGAAGGUGCCAAGCAUUGUAAACUUCUUUUGUCAAGGGACAAAAUCAGGCUCGAGAGCCUGACCGAGGGUACUUGAAGAAAAAGCAUCGGCUAACUCCGUGCCAGCAGCCGCGGUAAUACGGAGGAUGCGAGCGUUAUCCGGAUUUAUUGGGUUUAAAGGGUGCGUAGGCGGAUCGUUAAGUAAGUGGUCAAAUUGAGGGGCUCAACCCCUUCUCGCCAUUG
This 296-nucleotide ribosomal RNA is filed under the name uncultured bacterium. Its description in RNAcentral is "partial 16S ribosomal RNA". It matches the Rfam family "Bacterial small subunit ribosomal RNA", at positions 335 to 629 of the family's 1533-position model. The record is from RNAcentral.